GAUGAACGCUGGCGGCGUGCCUAAUACAUGCAAGUCGAGCGAACAGACGAGGAGCUUGCUCCUCUGACGUUAGCGGCGGACGGGUGAGUAACACGUGGAUAACCUACCUAUAAGACUGGGAUAACUUCGUGAAACCGGAGCUAAUACCGGAUAAUAUAUUGAACCGCAUGGUUCAAUAGUGAAAGACGGUUUUGCUUUCACUUAUAUAUGGAUCCGCGCCUCAUUAGCUAGUUGGUAAGGUAACGGCUUACCAAGGCAACGAUGCGUAGCCGACCUGAGAGGGUGAUCGGCCACACUGGAACUGAGACACGGUCCAGACUCCUACGGGAGGCAGCAGUAGGGAAUCUUCCGCAAAGGGCGAAAGCGUGACGGAGCAACGCCGCGUGAGUGAUGAAGGUCUUCGGAUCGUAAAACUCUGUUAUUAGGGAAGAACAAAUGUGUAAGUAACUAUGCACGUCUUGACGGUACCUAAUCAGAAAGCCACGGCUAAAUACGUG
This 497-nucleotide ribosomal RNA is filed under the name uncultured bacterium. Its description in RNAcentral is "partial 16S ribosomal RNA". It matches the Rfam family "Bacterial small subunit ribosomal RNA", at positions 28 to 507 of the family's 1533-position model. The record is from RNAcentral.